AGUGAACGCUGGCGGCAGGCCUAACACAUGCAAGUCGAACGGCAGCACAGUAAGAGCUUGCUCUUACGGGUGGCGAGUGGCGGACGGGUGAGGAAUACAUCGGAAUCUACUUUUUCGUGGGGGAUAACGUAGGGAAACUUACGCUAAUACCGCAUACCACCUACGGGUGAAAGCAGGGGAUCUUCGGACCUUGCGCGAUUGAAUGAGCCGAUGUCGGAUUAGCUAGUUGGCGGGGUAAAGGCCCACCAAGGCGACGAUCCGUAGCUGGUCUGAGAGGAUGGUCGGCCACACUGGAACUGAGACACGGUCCAGACUCCUACGGGAGGCAGCAGUGGGGAAUAUUGGGCAAUGGGGGCAAGCCUGAUCCAGCCAUACCGCGUGGGUGAAGAAGGCCUUCGGGUUGUAAAGCCCUUUUGUUGGGAAAGAAAAGCAGCAGGUUGAUACCCCGCUGUUCUGACGGUACCCAAAGAAUAAGCACCGGCUAACUUCGUG
RNAcentral lists this ribosomal RNA (492 nucleotides) under uncultured bacterium. Its description in RNAcentral is "partial 16S ribosomal RNA". It matches the Rfam family "Bacterial small subunit ribosomal RNA", at positions 29 to 507 of the family's 1533-position model. The record is from RNAcentral.